CUGGGUACUCGAGUGGCGAACGGGUGAGUAACACGUGGGUGAUCUGCCCCUGACUUUGGGAUAAGCCUGGGAAACUGGGUCUAAUACCGGAUAUGACCUUACAUCGCAUGGUGUUUGGUGGAAAGCUUUUGCGGUUGGGGAUGGGCCCGCGGCCUAUCAGCUUGUUGGUGGGGUAAUGGCCUACCAAGGCGACGACGGGUAGCCGACCUGAGAGGGUGAUCGGCCACACUGGGACUGAGACACGGCCCAGACUCCUACGGGAGGCAGCAGUGGGGAAUAUUGCACAAUGGGCGCAAGCCUGAUGCAGCGACGCCGCGUGAGGGAUGACGGCCUUCGGGUUGUAAACCUCUUUCACCAGGGACGAAGCGUGAGUGACGGUACCUGGAGAAGAAGCACCGGCCAACUACGUGCCAGCAGCCGCGGUAAUACGUAGGGUGCGAGCGUUGUCCGGAAUUACUGGGCGUAAAGAGCUCGUAGGCGGUUUGUCGCGUCGUCUGUGAAAUUCUGCAGCUUAACUGUAGGCGUGCAGGCGAUACGGGCAGACUUGAGUACUACAGGGGAGACUGGAAUUCCUGGUGUAGCGGUGAAAUGCGCAGAUAUCAGGAGGAACACCGGUGGCGAAGGCGGGUCUCUGGGUAGUAACUGACGCUGAGGAGCGAAAGCGUGGGUAGCGAACAGGAUUAGAUACCCUGGUAGUCCACGCCGUAAACGGUGGGUACUAGGUGUGGGGCUCAUUUCACGAGUUCCGUGCCGU
This 754-nucleotide ribosomal RNA is filed under the name Actinomycetes bacterium. RNAcentral describes it as "bacterial SSU rRNA". It matches the Rfam family "Bacterial small subunit ribosomal RNA", at positions 83 to 849 of the family's 1533-position model. Lineage: Bacteria; Bacillati; Actinomycetota; Actinomycetes. The record is from RNAcentral.